Molecule: ribosomal RNA, 253 nt
Filed under: uncultured bacterium
Lineage: Bacteria
Description: partial 16S ribosomal RNA
Rfam family: Bacterial small subunit ribosomal RNA
Source: RNAcentral
UACGAAGGGGGCUAGCGUUGCUCGGAAUCACUGGGCGUAAAGCGCACGUAGGCGGAUUCCUAAGUCGGGGGUGAAAUCCUGGAGCUUAACUCCAGAACUGCCUUUGAUACUGGCGACCUUGAGUCCGGGAGAGGUGAGUGGAACUGCGAGUGUAGAGGUGAAAUUCGUAGAUAUUCGCAAGAACACCAGUGGCGAAGGCGGCUCACUGGCCCGGUACUGACGCUGAGGUGCGAAAGCGUGGGGAGCAAACAGG